Molecule: regulatory RNA element, 49 nt
Organism: Lactobacillus delbrueckii subsp. bulgaricus
Lineage: Bacteria; Bacillati; Bacillota; Bacilli; Lactobacillales; Lactobacillaceae
Rfam family: Na+ riboswitch aptamer (DUF1646)
About the family: Proteobacteria, NC10, Acidobacteria, Verrucomicrobia. Lineage (Clostridia) The riboswitch of Na+ was first reported in a comparative analysis of intergenic regions and called DUF1646 RNA, it was also suggested that it acts as cis-reg RNA present upstream of Na+ genes. Afterward it was reported as a riboswitch that selectively senses Na+.
Source: Rfam
GGUUGGAGUUUCAAAACUUUCAAGAAAAAGCUUCUUUGGGUCAAGAAGC